UCGGUUGAUGCAGCCAUUCGCUAGGAAUUAACCGAUUCCUCUGCAUCCUCUUGCAUCGGUCGAUGUAAUCAUUCGAACUUAUAUUUCGUACGAGUGUAAGUAUAAAGGUUGCAAAUGAAAAUUGAGAUGCGGGCGUCAGUUAAGAAUAUUACAAUUGUGCGUGGGAUUAAUAUCUUGAAGACUAUAGUUUCUUUGAUAUUGACAGAAUCGAAGGUUUCGUAGUUUCUGGUGGAAUAUCAUUUCAAGAUUUUCAAGUUAAUGCAGCGAACAAAUUCCGUCGGUCUCUAGUUUCUCUUCAAAAGUCCAAUACAUAAAGUGUGACGAGUAUAUGGAAAUUUAUACAAGGGAAGAACGACAAGACAUCCAAACCAGCUGGUUGUUGAAGCGAGCAAAACUCUCGUAGAAAGAAGACUAAAAAGAAAGCACCCCACUGACCUCACUAAAGAAAUAAAAUAGUCAAACUCCAAGAUGGUAUCCUCCUGAGGUGUCACGUCGAAGACGCGGGGAGUGGUGAAAUUCAGAAAUCUCGUGAUCUCGCGUAGGUUUAAACGUUUCACAAGCAAGAGUGUCCAGAGCUGAUUUUGGGAAGUUUUAUAUACUACGGGUUUGGGUCUUAUGGAGGAGGUGUUGCCAGGUCCCACGUCGGAGGUGGCCAUACUGUUACCGUCUUCUAACCCUGGGACAUUGUCUACGUUGUUGUUUCGAUGACCUGCAGGAUAUUCGUUAGGCCCCCCUAGUUUUUCUAUUGCUAAUUUAUGGUUCUAUGAUAUUAGCAACGACAAAUUAUGCAAUACUUAACAAGUAAUACUAACUGAUCAACGAACUAAUUUCUACCGGAUUUUACAACAAAAAAAAACCAAACUAAAAAUCUUUCCUCCCUAUCAUUAAGCGUUUAUCACGUUACAAACGAACCAAAGUUCGCCUCUCGUGAAAGCUUGUUAAAACACUUAUUAGCAAUCCAUAAACUCUGUAACGAUGGAGUAAGCAAAACCUUGCAGCGUCCCGGGAAGAUCCGUGUAAAAUGUUGCCGGCCGGGGGACAUAAGUGAUCUAUUUGCGGACUACCGAUCACGAAACGAACGAACAUGCAGCGAGAUUACGUUGUCAGCCAGGCUAUAACAAAGUGCACCGCGGAAUACCGGCGCGAGUUAAUAAACUCACUGUGAGUCGCCGCGCGGAUAACUGCGCGGCGACCUUGCUGCCGGACAAGCUUUAAGCAGCUGAUCGUUAUAAUCGAUAGGACGGCCAGAAGUAUGCAAAAUACGCGGGCAAUCUCUUCUGCGAAACUGGUGGAGCCCGAGGUCGAACAAAAAACGCGAGCCAACGAGCACCAGUUGCCAUGGACGUGCGAGAAUUCAAUGCGUUUCGCGUGCAGUAGAUAUAGUAGCCAAGGUCGCAAACUUGAAAAGUUUAAGCAGAUAAAUUUAACGAAUCACGCUUGUUUCGAUAACCCUGAUUUGCGAUCAAUGUAAUUGGUAACUGUACGAGAUCUGUUUGUUUGCAAUACUUGCAAUUAAGUGGAAUAUGUAAUUGGAUU
Molecule: long non-coding RNA, 1536 nt
Organism: Bombus pyrosoma
Lineage: Eukaryota; Metazoa; Arthropoda; Insecta; Hymenoptera; Apidae
Exons: 3
Source: RefSeq, a predicted model, not a curated record